Molecule: transfer RNA, 75 nt
Filed under: Rhodopseudomonas sp.
Lineage: Bacteria; Pseudomonadati; Pseudomonadota; Alphaproteobacteria; Hyphomicrobiales; Nitrobacteraceae
Also listed under: 11 other names
Description: tRNA-Thr
Rfam family: tRNA
About the family: Transfer RNA (tRNA) molecules are approximately 80 nucleotides in length.
Source: RNAcentral
GCCGGAUUAGCUCAGCGGUAGAGCAGCGGUUUUGUAAACCGAAGGUCGGGAGUUCAAUCCUCUCAUCCGGCACCA